UACAGAGGGUGCAAGCGUUAAUCGGAAUUACUGGGCGUAAAGCGUGCGUAGACGGUUACAUAAGUCGGGUGUGAAAUUUCGGAGCUUAACUCCGAAACUGCAUUCGAUACUGGCGUGCUUGAGGACUGGAGAGGAGACUGGAAUUUACGGUGUAGCAGUGAAAUGCGUAGAUAUCGUAAGGAAGACCAGUGGCGAAGGCGGGUCUCUGGACAGUUCCUGACACUGAGACACGAAGGCCAGGGGAGCAAACGGG
This 253-nucleotide ribosomal RNA is filed under the name uncultured prokaryote. Its description in RNAcentral is "partial 16S ribosomal RNA". It matches the Rfam family "Bacterial small subunit ribosomal RNA", at positions 524 to 776 of the family's 1533-position model. The record is from RNAcentral.